UCUGCGCUAGCGUUUGUGUGAAUGUGUCUACACAUUUGCUUACAUGCUCACCAAUAUUCCACUAUUAUUCCGAAUAUGACAAUAUUCUGAAUUUGAUACAGGUCAUGUAAACAGCAUAUUCCGGUUGGAUAUUCCGAAUAUGGCAUUUUCCAG
Molecule: long non-coding RNA, 153 nt
Organism: Etheostoma spectabile (orangethroat darter)
Lineage: Eukaryota; Metazoa; Chordata; Actinopteri; Perciformes; Percidae
Exons: 4
Source: RefSeq, a predicted model, not a curated record